RNAcentral lists this unclassified non-coding RNA (381 nucleotides) under uncultured Pseudomonadota bacterium. RNAcentral's name for it is "uncultured proteobacterium contains 16S-23S intergenic spacer region". Lineage: Bacteria; Pseudomonadati; Pseudomonadota. The record is from RNAcentral.
UCCGGCUUAUCACCGGCAGUCCCUUUAGAGUGCCCAACUGAAUGGUGGCAACUAAAGGCGAGGGUUGCGCUCGUUGCGGGACUUAACCCAACAUCUCACGACACGAGCUGACGACAGCCAUGCAGCACCUGUCUCCGGUCCAGCCGAACUGAAGGGAUCCAUCUCUGGUUCCCGCGACCGGGAUGUCAAAGGCUGGUAAGGUUCUUCGUGUUGCUUCGAAUUGAACCACAUGCUCCACCGCUUGUGCGGGCCCCCGUCAAUUCCUUUGAGUUUCAGCCUUGCGGCCGUACUCCCCAGGCGGGGCACUUCAUGCGUUAGCGCCGGUACCCAGAGGGUCGCUCCCCUAAGCACCUAGUGCCCAUCGUUUACGGCGUGGACUAC